RNAcentral lists this ribosomal RNA (909 nucleotides) under Ceratocystis fimbriata. RNAcentral describes it as "LSU rRNA". It matches the Rfam family "Eukaryotic large subunit ribosomal RNA", at positions 158 to 1083 of the family's 3401-position model. Lineage: Eukaryota; Fungi; Ascomycota; Sordariomycetes; Microascales; Ceratocystidaceae. The record is from RNAcentral.
GAUGCUUUUGGUGAGGUGCCUUCCGAGUUCCCUGGAACGGGACGCCAUAGAGGGUGAGAGCCCCGUACGGUUGGAUACCAAACCUCUGUAUAGCUCCUUCAACGAGUCGAGUAGUUUGGGAAUGCUGCUCUAAAUGGGAGGUAUAUCUCUUCUAAAGCUAAAUAUAGGCUAGAGACCGAUAGCGCACAAGUAGAGUGAUCGAAAGAUGAAAAGCACUUUGAAAAGAGAGUUAAACAGCACGUGAAAUUGUUGAAAGGGAAGCGCCUAUGACCAGACUUGUUUCUGGCAGUUUCGUUAGCCCUCGGGCUGAUUUACUCUGUCCAGUACAGGCCAGCAUCAGUUUGUUGUCGGGGAGAAAGGCUCUGGGAACGUAGCUCCCCCCUUCUGGGGGGAGUGUUAUAGCCCUCUGCAUAAUACCCUUCGGCAGACUGAGGACCGCGCUUCGGCAAGGAUGCUGGCGUAAUGGUCAUCAGCGACCCGUCUUGAAACACGGACCAAGGAGUCAACCUUAUGUGCGAGUGUUUGGGUGUAAAACCCCAGCGCGUAAUGAAAGUGAACGUAGGUGAGAGCUUCGGCGCAUCAUCGACCGAUUCUGAUGUUUUCGGAUGGAUUUGAGUAAGAGCACACAGGGUUGGACCCGAAAGAAGGUGAACUAUGCUUGUAUAGGGUGAAGCCAGAGGAAACUCUGGUGGAGGCUCGCAGCGGUUCUGACGUGCAAAUCGAUCGUCAAAUAUGAGCAUGGGGGCGAAAGACUAAUCGAACCUUCUAGUAGCUGGUUCCAGCCGAAGUUUCCCUCAGGAUAGCAGUGUUGAAUUUUCUUCAGUUUUAUGAGGUAAAGCGAAUGAUUAGGGACUCGGGGGCGCUAUAUUGCCUUCAUCCAUUCUCAAACUUUAAAUAUGUAAGAAGCCC